Molecule: ribosomal RNA, 373 nt
Filed under: uncultured bacterium
Lineage: Bacteria
Description: bacterial SSU rRNA
Rfam family: Bacterial small subunit ribosomal RNA
Source: RNAcentral
ACAGAGGUGGCAAGCGUUGUUCGGAAUUACUGGGCGUAAAGGGCGCGUAGGCGGCCAUCUAAGUCAGACGUGAAAUCCCCCGGCUCAACCUGGGAACUGCGUCUGAUACUGGAAGGCUAGAGUUUGGGAGAGGGAUGUAGAAUUCCAGGUGUAGCGGUGAAAUGCGUAGAUAUCUGGAGGAAUACCGGUGGCGAAGGCGGCAUCCUGGACCAAUACUGACGCUGAGGCGCGAAAGCUAGGGGAGCAAACGGGAUUAGAUACCCCGGUAGUCCUAGCCCUAAACGAUGAAUACUUGGUGUGGCGGGUAUCGAUCCCUGCCGUGCCGAAGCUAACGCAUUAAGUAUUCCGCCUGGGGAGUACGGUCGCAAGGCUG